GGUCUCACACAGGAUAGGCAAUCACUUGACCACUGACUGUGUCCCCAGCCGUUUGGUUUAUUGUUUUAUUUUGUUUGUGGUGGUUUUUUGCUUGCUUGCUUGUUUGUUUGAGGCAGGGUCUCUUUAAGUUAUCUUUGCCACAGCCUAAUUUGCAGCUUCAACCUACCAAUUUGUGCCCAGGAACGAGGACCAGGACUGAGGACGCCCUCUUUCUGCACAAUACCUGCCCAUGCAGAGUCUCUGCAUUUUGACACCCACAAGCUCCGCAGCUUCCCUCUCCUACUGUGACUCAUCAGCAUUCUCCUUCCCAGUGUUUUGGAGUGGGUGUUGAUGGAGGGGAACGUGAGCUUCCAGAUAGAGUCUCAUGCAGUCCAGCCUGGUCUUGAACUCAUGGUGAAGCCAAGGAAGGCCGUGAACUCCUGAUUUCCUCUUCUACCUUCCAAGUGUGGAGAUUACAGACACACACCCCUUUAAUUACAGAACUUGGGAGACAGAUGCCAGUGGAUCUCUGUGAGUUCAAGGCCAGCUUGAUCUGCAUUGCAAGUUCCCAGGCCAAGUAGGGCUACAUAAUGAGAUCCUGGCAAAAAGAAAAGAAAAAUAAGGAGGAAGAGGAGAAGAAGAAGAAAAGGAAGAAGGAAAAAGAAAAGGAGGAGAUGGAGACGAAGACAAAGAAGAAGAAGGAGAAGAAGGAGGAGGAAGAGGAGAAAAGAAGAAGAAGAAGAAGAAGAAGAAGAAGAAGAAGAAGAAGAAGAAGAAGAAGAAGAAGAAGAAGAAGAAGAAGAAAGCAAGCAAGAGCAAGCUCCCUCCACUGCUUUGUGUUUUAAAAGAGAAUGACUGUUCAGUGUCCCUGGAAACUCACCAGAAAGCGAAUCAUUGUGAAGCAGCUCAUGUCUUCUCCAUAAAAAUAACGCUGCCUGCUGUUGAGGCUGCCUUCUAGAGGAAGAAUUGGCAUGAGAAGCCGGGCGUGCGUGACUGGCGAUGGCACAGGAGCAAAGAACUAUAAACCUUUAUCGUCACUUAAUAUAAUAAACGUGUGCUCUGAUACCUUUUAAAAUGCCCAGAAAUGGAGAGCGCACCCUGAUUACACAGAAGGCCAUAAAAUGAACAUGCUGCACAUAAAAAAUUAUACUGUUGUAUAAAUUUUCCUGAAGACUGAUGUAUUAUUUAUGAUAAGCAUUAAUUAAAAGAUUAAUUGCUAAUGUUCUUUGCCCUUGUACAAUUUAGCAAAAAAAUCAAAGUAGCUUAAAUAUAUUUGGAGAUAA
Molecule: long non-coding RNA, 1262 nt
Filed under: Mus caroli (Ryukyu mouse)
Lineage: Eukaryota; Metazoa; Chordata; Mammalia; Rodentia; Muridae
Description: predicted gene 6117 (MGP_CAROLIEiJ_G0006309.1)
Source: RNAcentral